RNAcentral lists this ribosomal RNA (445 nucleotides) under uncultured bacterium. RNAcentral describes it as "bacterial SSU rRNA". It matches the Rfam family "Bacterial small subunit ribosomal RNA", at positions 354 to 796 of the family's 1533-position model. The record is from RNAcentral.
GUGAGGAAUAUUGGUCAAUGGGCGAGAGCCUGAACCAGCCAAGUAGCGUGAAGGAAGACUGCCCUAUGGGUUGUAAACUUCUUUUAUACGGGAAUAAAGUCAUCCACGUGUGGAUGUUUGUAUGUACCGUAUGAAUAAGGAUCGGCUAACUCCGUGCCAGCAGCCGCGGUAAUACGGAGGAUCCGAGCGUUAUCCGGAUUUAUUGGGUUUAAAGGGAGCGUAGGCGGGCUUUUAAGUCAGUUGUGAAAGUUUGCGGCUCAACCGUAAAAUUGCAGUUGAUACUGGAAGCCUUGAGUACAGUAGAGGCAGGCGGAAUUCGUGGUGUAGCGGUGAAAUGCUUAGAUAUCACGAAGAACUCCGAUUGCGAAGGCAGCUUGCUGGACUGUAACUGACGCUGAUGCUCGAAAGUGUGGGUAUCAAACAGGAUUAGAAACCCCAGUAGUCC